UGUCAAAUUAGCAAAAAUAUGCAACUGACUUAGGAUCAGUAGAUAUAGGUGAAAAUCCUUUAUUUGAUAA
RNAcentral lists this transfer RNA (70 nucleotides) under Costapex baldwinae. RNAcentral describes it as "tRNA-Leu". It matches the Rfam family "tRNA". From Rfam's summary of the family: Transfer RNA (tRNA) molecules are approximately 80 nucleotides in length. Their secondary structure includes four short double-helical elements and three loops (D, anti-codon, and T loops). The record is from RNAcentral. Lineage: Eukaryota; Metazoa; Mollusca; Gastropoda; Neogastropoda; Costellariidae.